Molecule: ribosomal RNA, 440 nt
Filed under: uncultured bacterium
Lineage: Bacteria
Description: partial 16S ribosomal RNA
Rfam family: Bacterial small subunit ribosomal RNA
Source: RNAcentral
CCUACGGAGUGCAGCAGUGGGGGAUAUUGCACAAUGGGGGAAACCCUGAUGCAGCGACACCGCGUGUGGGAAGACGGUCUUCUGGAUUGUAAACCACUGUCCCCAGGGACGAAAAUGACGGUACCUGGGGAGGAAGCUCCGGCUAACUACGUGCCAGCAGCCGCGGUAAUACGUAGGGAGCAAGCGUUGUCCGGAAUUACUGGGUGUAAAGGGAGCGUAGGCGGGGAUGCAAGUUGGGUGUCAAAACUACCGGCUCAACCGAUAGUCGCACUCAAAACUGCAACUCUUGAGUGAAGUAGAGGCAGGCGGAAUUCCUAGUGUAGCGGUGAAAUGCGUAGAUAUUAGGAGGAACACCAGUGGCGAAGGCGGCCUGCUGGGCUUUUACUGACGCUGAGGCUCGAAAGUGUGGGGAGCAAACAGGAUUAGAUACCCUUGUAGUC